This is a long non-coding RNA of Bufo bufo (common toad), 162 nucleotides long. RefSeq lists it as uncharacterized. NCBI's taxonomy places the organism in Eukaryota, Metazoa, Chordata, Amphibia, Anura, Bufonidae. The record is from RefSeq and is a predicted model, not a curated record. The transcript has 3 exons.
ACAGCAUACAUAGUCUUAUAGAGCAGUAUUUCCCAACCAGUGCGCCCCCAGCUGCCGCAAAACCACAACCCCCAGCAUGUCCAGACAGCCUUUGGCCGUGCGGGCAUGCUGGGAGAUGCAGUCCCGCAACAGCCGGAGGCACACCGACCGGGAAACACCGAU